This 468-nucleotide ribosomal RNA is filed under the name uncultured bacterium. RNAcentral describes it as "partial 16S ribosomal RNA". It matches the Rfam family "Bacterial small subunit ribosomal RNA", at positions 28 to 507 of the family's 1533-position model. The record is from RNAcentral.
GACGAACGCUGGCGGCGUGCUUAACACAUGCAAGUCGAACGGAAAGGCCCUGCGUUUGUGGGGUGCUCGAUUGGCGAACGGGUGAGUAACACGUGAGUAACCUGCCCUUGACUUUGGGAUAACUUCAGGAAACUGGGGCUAAUAUCGGAUAGGAGCUCCUGCUGCAUGGGGUGGGUUGGAGAGUUUCGGCGUUGGGGGAUGUACUCGCGGCUUAUCAGCUUGUUGGUGGGGUAGGUGCUUACCAAGGCUUUGACGGGUAGCCGGCCUGAGAGGGUGACCGGCGACAUUGGGACUGAGAUACGGCCCAGAAUCCUACGGGCGGCAGCAGUGGGGAAUAUUGCACAAUGGGCGGAAGCCUGAUGCAGCAACGCCGCGUGCGGGAUGACGGCCUUCGGGUUGUAAACCGCUUUCGCCUGUGACGAAGCGUGCGUGACGGUAAUGGGUAAAGAAGCACCGGCUAACUACGUG